RNAcentral lists this non-coding RNA (27 nucleotides) under Rattus norvegicus (Norway rat). The record is from RNAcentral. Lineage: Eukaryota; Metazoa; Chordata; Mammalia; Rodentia; Muridae.
UGUCAAGGUCAUGGGGAUACAGAACAC